Molecule: non-coding RNA, 245 nt
Organism: Cinara cedri
Lineage: Eukaryota; Metazoa; Arthropoda; Insecta; Hemiptera; Aphididae
Source: the annotation of a GenBank genome assembly
UUUCAAAAAAAAUGGUAUCAUUAUAAAUCUGAGCCAAAUUGCUUGUAGAAUAGGUAUUCACAGAAAAACAGAAAGCUGUUAUAUAUUAUAACAAAUGCCUAUAUUUUUCAUAUUUUUCCCUUUUUUUUUUUUCAGUUUUUCGAAUUCGAUGAGACAAUUGAAAUAUGACCAUCCUAAAGUACCUACUCACACCGAUUCCCUUUCAGAAAAGGUGCUACACUUAAAAAUCUGAGCAGGUAUUCAGG